UGAUGAGAUUGCAUGAUAGCAUCAUUAAAGAUUUAUUGGUAAACGAUGGGGAUGCGUUCCAUUAGGUAGUAGGCGGGGUGACGGCCCACCUAGCCGACGAUGGAUAGGGGUUCUGAGAGGAAGGUCCCCCACAUUGGAACUGAGACACGGUCCAAACUCCUACGGGAGGCAGCAGUGAGGAAUAUUGGUCAAUGGGCGAGAGCCUGAACCAGCCAAGUAGCGUGAAGGAUGAAGGUCCUACGGAUUGUAAACUUCUUUUAUACGGGAAUAAAGUAUCCUACGUGUAGGAUUUUGUAUGUACCGUAUGAAUAAGCAUCGGCUAACUCCGUGCCAGCAGCCGCGGUAAUACGGAGGAUGCGAGCGUUAUCCGGAUUUAUUGGGUUUAAAGGGAGCGCAGACGGGAGAUUAAGUCAGUUGUGAAAGUUUGCGGCUCAACCGUAAAAUUGCAGUUGAUACUGGUUUCCUUGAGUGCAGUUGAGGCAGGCGGAAUUCGUGGUGUAGCGGUGAAAUGCUUAGAUAUCACGAAGAACCCCGAUUGCGAAGGCAGCUUGCUAAACUGUAACUGACGUUCAUGCUCGAAAGUGUGGGUAUCAAACAGGAUUAGAUACCCUGGUAGUCCACACG
This 624-nucleotide ribosomal RNA is filed under the name uncultured bacterium. RNAcentral describes it as "bacterial SSU rRNA". It matches the Rfam family "Bacterial small subunit ribosomal RNA", at positions 179 to 801 of the family's 1533-position model. The record is from RNAcentral.